This 547-nucleotide ribosomal RNA is filed under the name Diaspidiotus ancylus. Its description in RNAcentral is "partial large subunit ribosomal RNA". The record is from RNAcentral. Lineage: Eukaryota; Metazoa; Arthropoda; Insecta; Hemiptera; Diaspididae.
AUCUGGGCGGCGGAAUUCAGGAUGGCCGGCGUGCUCUCGCAGUGCGUCGGUCGUUUGAUAUUUCCGUCGCCAACAAACYGCAGACGUCGCGACCUGUUCGCGGUCGGUCCUUGCUCGGAGGAGCCACGUUCGAGCUCGUUGUGUGCGCGUUUCGGCGUGUCACACGGCGAAGGCGUGGAUCUCUGGCUGGCCGUCGGACAGUAUGCUUAGCGGUGUCCGGUGUCGUCGUCUCGUACGCGCGGCACCGGUACCGGUCAGCGACGAAUUCUUCGGGCCUCUUUCCGACCCGUCUUGAAACACGGACCAAGGAGUCUAACAUGCGCGCGAGUCGCGGGGUAUCGAGCGUACUUCGGUGCGUUCGUUAUGUUGCGAAACCCGUACAUGUUGAAGGCGUAAUGAAAGUGAAUGGGGAAGAUGGUGUUCCGAGUACACGUUCCGCGAUCGUUGGUAUCGCGGCCGGACACCCGCAUUCCCGGGGCGUCUCAACGGCCCGUCGCUGAUGCGGACAGUCGUCUUUCGGGGCGGCUGUCGGUCGGCGACGAACCGA